This 393-nucleotide ribosomal RNA is filed under the name Triticum aestivum (bread wheat). RNAcentral's name for it is "partial small subunit ribosomal RNA". Lineage: Eukaryota; Viridiplantae; Streptophyta; Magnoliopsida; Poales; Poaceae. The record is from RNAcentral.
AUGAUUACACUCCCGACACUUGGCAUGCGGGGUGGCAUCCUGCUGGCUUGGAAGAGCAGGGCCGUGACUAUCACAUACCCAUUGUUCACCAUGAAUGCCCUCUCGGCCAGAGUGGCCACGGCCUCGGGCACCCCCUGGUGGCUAUCGGUCGUGUAUGGACCCCAAGAUGACGCGGACAAAAUUGCGUUCUUGCUAGAGUUGUGGGAGAUUCGCGCGGCUUGCCCCGGGCCAUGGAUGCUUUGUGGUGACUUCAACCUCAUCCUGCGUGACGAGGACAAGAACAACAACAACUUGAACUGGCGCAUGAUGGGCAGGUUCUACCGCCUCGUCAACGACCUCGCGCUUGAGGAGGUCUACCUCAACGGGCGCCGCUUCACGUGGUCGAACGAUUAG